This 299-nucleotide unclassified non-coding RNA is filed under the name Hevea brasiliensis (rubber tree). The record is from RNAcentral. Lineage: Eukaryota; Viridiplantae; Streptophyta; Magnoliopsida; Malpighiales; Euphorbiaceae.
GGAAUCCAUCCUUGCCCCAGUCGUUUUUUAUCCCACCCUGAUUCCUAGUGGGCAGGGACAAGAAUAGUAAAACCCGGCCCUGGCCUAUCAAAUUCUACAACAAUUUAAUUAACUCACAAGAUAUUCACACCGUAGAUAAAUUCAAAUCAUAUCAAACAUUACAUAUUCAUAACCAUCAUCAUUUCCAAUGGGAUAUAUUAAGUGCAAACAGCCAAGAAAAAUUCAAAAUUGUCCUUAUAAUGUAAUCAACAAAUUGGCUAAUUGCUCCAAGCACAGAUUCUUAAAGCUUUGAGGCAGUG